This 466-nucleotide ribosomal RNA is filed under the name uncultured bacterium. RNAcentral describes it as "partial 16S ribosomal RNA". It matches the Rfam family "Bacterial small subunit ribosomal RNA", at positions 28 to 507 of the family's 1533-position model. The record is from RNAcentral.
GAUGAACGCUGGCGGCGUGCUUAACACAUGCAAGUCGAACGAUGAAGCCCAGCUUGCUGGGUGGAUUAGUGGCGAACGGGUGAGUAACACGUGAGUAACCUGCCCUUAACUCUGGGAUAAGCCUGGGAAACUGGGUCUAAUACCGGAUAGGAGCGUCCACCGCAUGGUGGGUGUUGGAAAGAUUUAUCGGUUUUGGAUGGACUCGCGGCCUAUCAGCUUGUUGGUGAGGUAAUGGCUCACCAAGGCGACGACGGGUAGCUGGCCUGAGAGGGUGACCGGCCACACUGGGACUGAGACACGGCCCAGACUCCUACGGGAGGCAGCAGUGGGGAAUAUUGCACAAUGGGCGCAAGCCUGAUGCAGCGACGCCGCGUGAGGGAUGACGGCCUUCGGGUUGUAAACCUCUUUCAGUAGGGAAGAAGCGAAAGUGACGGUACCUGCAGAAGAAGCACCGGCUAACUACGUG